CCGCACUGUUGCGGUGGAGACUGGGAAGUUAAGUUAGCUCCAAACUACUCGAGUUGAUGACAGCUACGCUCGUUACUUGGUUUCUAGCCAGGCUGUGGGCUUGCAGUGUACAAUAAACAAACAUGGCUACCCUCACAUCCUGUUUCACACACUCCAUUUCCUGCUGCUGCCUACGGGGGAAAUGUGCUCUCUUCAGCGUCUGGCGUUGGAAGAAAAUGUAAAUUCUAUACAUUUUCCCUGAAAGAACAGCACACUGUUCAUGGUUUUCAAGUGCCAUUUUCCCUGCAAAGUGUGUGGGCAGACAUGAUACCCAAAAGGUGAAACAGCAGCAGUUCCUGUAAAGGCACGUGUAGAUCAGGAAAGAAAAACUGAAUUGGCCAAUCAGCCCAACCCGAAAGGGAUACUUACUACUACUUUUUUUCUUCUGAAAUUUUGUAGGUACUGUUAUGUAAAGCUAAACAUGUUCACAAUGUAUUAGUGUGUUAGGAUCAGUAAAUCUAAUUUUGUUUACUAGACACUGAAAAGUUUGAAAGAUCGAUACUUUUCUGUGUGGCUUUGAUAAUGUGUUUUCUUGCUGUACACUUCAUCCCAAGAGAAAUAAAGUGCUUUUAGUACUCAUGGGAAGAGGACACCCCAUGCACGUAAGAUA
Molecule: long non-coding RNA, 649 nt
Organism: Micropterus dolomieu (smallmouth bass)
Lineage: Eukaryota; Metazoa; Chordata; Actinopteri; Centrarchiformes; Centrarchidae
Exons: 4
Source: RefSeq, a predicted model, not a curated record